AGAGUUUGAUCAUGGCUCAGAACGAACGCUGGCGGCGUGGAUUAGGCAUGCAAGUCGAACGGUCCCGCAAGCAUUUUCUGCGGGAUAGUGGCGAAAGGGUGAGUAACACGUGGGUAAUCUACCCAAAGAACUGGGAUAACUUGUCGAAAGACGGGCUAAUACCGGAUGAGACCACGACUUCUUUGGAAGUUGAGGUCAAAGAUGGGGAUUCGCUUCGGCGGACCUGUCGUCUUUGGAGGAGCCCGCGGACUAUCAGCUAGUUGGUGAGGUAAUGGCUCACCAAGGCUGUGACGGAUAGCUGGCCUGAGAGGGUGGUCAGCCACAUCGGGACUGAGACACUGCCCGGACUCCUACGGGAGGCUGCAGUCGAGAAUCUUUCGCAAUGGGGGCAACCCUGACGAAGCGACGCCGCGUGCAGGAUGAAGGCCUUCGGGUCGUAAACUGCUGUCACUUGGGACGAAACAUGUCGGUGCGAAUAUCUCCGAUAUCUGACGGUACCAAGAGAGGAAGCCACGGCUAACUCUGUGCCAGCAGCCGCGGUAAUACAGAGGUGGCUAGCGUUGUUCGGAUUCAUUGGGUGUAAAGGGUGCGUAGGCGGUUUGGAAAGUCAAGUGUGAAAGCCCACAGCUCAACUGUGGAAAUGCAUUUGAAACUUCUAGACUAGAGUGUGAGAGAGGUGAAGGGAAUUCCCGGUGUAAGGGUGAAAUCUGCAGAGAUCGGGAGGAACACCAGUAGCGAAGGCGCUUCACUGGCUCGCAACUGACGCUGAGUGCACGAAGGCGUGGGGAGCAAACGGGAUUAGAUACCCCGGUAGUCCACGCAGUAAACGAU
This 831-nucleotide ribosomal RNA is filed under the name uncultured bacterium. RNAcentral's name for it is "bacterial SSU rRNA". It matches the Rfam family "Bacterial small subunit ribosomal RNA", at positions 8 to 810 of the family's 1533-position model. The record is from RNAcentral.